This 46-nucleotide small RNA is filed under the name Novipirellula galeiformis. Its description in RNAcentral is "Acido-Lenti-1 RNA". It matches the Rfam family "Acido-Lenti-1 RNA". The record is from Rfam by way of RNAcentral. Lineage: Bacteria; Pseudomonadati; Planctomycetota; Planctomycetia; Pirellulales; Pirellulaceae.
UCACGGGUUUGCACCCGUGGCUACAACAUGCCGUCCCUUCGGGACU